GAUGAACGCUGGCGGCGUGCCUAAUACAUGCAAGUCGAGCGAACAGACGAGGAGCGUGCGCCUCUGAUGUUAGCGGCGGACGGGCGAGUAACACGUGGAUAACCUACCUAUAAGACUGGGAUAACUUCGGGAAACCGGAGCUAAUACCGGCUAACAUGUUGAACCGCAUGGUUCAACAGUGCAAGACGGCUUUGCUGUCACUUAUAGACGGAUCCGGGCCGCAUUAGCUAGUUGGUAAGGUAACGGCCUACCAAGGCAACGAUGCGUAGCCGACCUGAGAGGGUGAUCGGCCACACUGGAACUGAGACACGGUCCAGACUCCUACGGGAGGCAGCAGUGGGGAAUCUUCCGCAAUGGGCGAAAGCCUGACGGAGCAACGCCGCGUGAGUGAAGAAGGUCUUCGGAUCGUAAAACUCUGUUAUUAGGGAAGAACAAAUGUGUAAGUAACUAUGCACGUCUUGACGGUACCUAAUCAGAAAGCCACGGCUAACUACGUG
RNAcentral lists this ribosomal RNA (497 nucleotides) under uncultured bacterium. Its description in RNAcentral is "partial 16S ribosomal RNA". It matches the Rfam family "Bacterial small subunit ribosomal RNA", at positions 28 to 507 of the family's 1533-position model. The record is from RNAcentral.